RNAcentral lists this ribosomal RNA (473 nucleotides) under uncultured bacterium. Its description in RNAcentral is "partial 16S ribosomal RNA". It matches the Rfam family "Bacterial small subunit ribosomal RNA", at positions 28 to 507 of the family's 1533-position model. The record is from RNAcentral.
GGUGAACGCUGGCGGCGUGCCUAAGACAUGCAAGUCGAGCGGGCCGCGGGGUUUUACUCCGUGGUCAGCGGCGGACGGGUGAGUAACGCGUGGGUGACCUACCCGGAAGAGGGGGACAACCCGGGGAAACUCGGGCUAAUCCCCCAUGUGGACCCGCCCCUUGGGGUGUGUCCAAAGGGCUUUGCCCGCUUCCGGAUGGGCCCGCGUCCCAUCAGCUAGUUGGUGGGGUAAUGGCCCACCAAGGCGACGACGGCUAGCCGGCCUGAGAGGGUGGGCGGCCACAGGGGCACUGAGACACGGGCCCCACUCCUACGGGAGUCAGCAGGUAGGAAGAGUCCGCAAUGGGCGCAAGCCUGACGGAGCGACGCCGCUUGGAGGAAGAAGCCCUUAGGGGUGUAAACUCCUGAACCCGGGACGAAACCCCCGACGAGGGGACUGACGGGACCGGGGGAAUAGCGCCGGCCAACUCCGUG